CGUCUAUAUACGUAUAGCAUAUCAAUAAGCGGAGGAAAAGAAACUAACAAGGAUUCCCUUAGUAACGGCGAGUGAAGCGGGAAGAGCUCAAAUUUGAAAUCUUCAAGGUUUUACCUUGACGAAUUGUAGUUUAAAGAAGUGUUUUCUGUUGGAGUUUUGGUAAAAGUUCUUUGGAAUAGGACAUCAUAGAGGGUGAGAAUCCCGUAUUUGACCAGUUACUUUCCAGCUGUGUGAUACACUUUCAAAGAGUCGGAUUGUUUGGGAAUGCAGUCCAAAAUGGGUGGUAAAUUUCAUCUAAAGCUAAAUAUUGGCGAGAGACCGAUAGCGAACAAGUACCGUGAGGGAAAGAUGAAAAGAACUUUGAAAAGAGAGUUAAACAGUACGUGAAAUUGUCAAAAGGGAAGCGUUUGACACCAGUGUUGUUUUUCCGAAAAUCAAUUACGAAUGUUUUAUUUUUGAGGAGUUAUGACUUCAUCGGCUUGCUCCUUUCUUUAUGAAACUUUCUUAAUGCACUUUCGGUUAACAAGUCAACAUCAAUUUCUUUUGUUGUAAAAGGGUAUAAGGAAGGUGGCUUUCUUUUCGGAGAAAGUGUUUAUAGCCUUGUGCCUCUGCAAUCGGAGAGAUUGAGGUCUGCAGCGUAGAUCCUUCGGGGUUAGAUACAUUUGUGCUAAGUUAUAGCUUUUCAUAGACAACUUGUUGACUAUGUUUAGUCUUGUAGCUUACUCGCUUAUGCUAUUUUACCUACGCUUAGGAUGUUGACGAGACUGUCGAUCUC
This 775-nucleotide ribosomal RNA is filed under the name uncultured Neocallimastigales. RNAcentral's name for it is "partial large subunit ribosomal RNA". It matches the Rfam family "Eukaryotic large subunit ribosomal RNA", at positions 26 to 646 of the family's 3401-position model. Lineage: Eukaryota; Fungi; Neocallimastigomycota; Neocallimastigomycetes; Neocallimastigales. The record is from RNAcentral.